AUCACUUUUCUGCCUUUUGCCUAACAUGAAAUAUAUAAUGUCUGUUCUUUAAUGUUUAACAUCUUGUAUGUCCUGUGUCCAAGGACAAUAAAUGAAAUGGAUUUUUGGAGCUUGGAGAUGAUAUAAGAUUUGUUCCAACCACUAUAUACAUACAGUGAUCUAACUUUUACAUAGCCUCUAGGACUGGUCUCCACUCU
Microtus oregoni (creeping vole) is the source of this 197-nucleotide small nuclear RNA. RefSeq annotates it as U2 spliceosomal RNA. The transcript has a single exon. NCBI's taxonomy places the organism in Eukaryota, Metazoa, Chordata, Mammalia, Rodentia, Cricetidae. The record is from RefSeq and is a predicted model, not a curated record.